Molecule: ribosomal RNA, 478 nt
Filed under: uncultured bacterium
Lineage: Bacteria
Description: partial 16S ribosomal RNA
Rfam family: Bacterial small subunit ribosomal RNA
Source: RNAcentral
GACGAACGCUGGCGGCGUGCUUAACACAUGCAAGUCGAACGGUAAGGCCCUUCGGGGUACACGAGUGGCGAACGGGUGAGUAACACGUGGGUAAUCUGCCCUGCACUUCGGGAUAAGCCUGGGAAACUGGGUCUAAUACCGGAUAGGACCACUGCCUGCAUGGGUGGUGGUGGAAAGCUUUUGCGGUGUGGGAUGGGCCCGCGGCCUAUCAGCUUGUUGGUGGGGUGAUGGCCUACCAAGGCGUCGACGGGUAGCCGGCCUGAGAGGGUGACCGGCCACACUGGGACUGAGAUACGGCCCAGACUCCUACGGGAGGCAGCAGUGGGGAAUAUUGCACAAUGGGCGCAAGCCUGAUGCAGCGACGCCGCGUGAGGGAUGACGGCCUUCGGGUUGUAAACCUCUUUCAGCACCGACGAAGCGCAAGUGACGGUAGGUGCAGAAGAAGGACCGGCCAACUACGUGCCAGCAGCCGCAGUAA